This 677-nucleotide unclassified non-coding RNA is filed under the name Hevea brasiliensis (rubber tree). Lineage: Eukaryota; Viridiplantae; Streptophyta; Magnoliopsida; Malpighiales; Euphorbiaceae. The record is from RNAcentral.
GUUUCACUGUAUAUGCACAGGUAUUGCGGCGGAAUUCUGAAAAUAAACAGAGAUGCCAGGGCCGGGACCGCAUAUGAUGUAUACAUUGGGUUCAGGAUUAGGAUUGAUGAGUGUAUCUAAUGGCCGGUUUAGUCCUCAUCACUGCGUUACCUAUUCCAUCAACGCUUUCUUUGGACCGGACAUUGGAUCUUUCUCUGAGUGGCUUACAUCAACCCUUGGGUUAGGAAGUGCUUUGGGUUAUGCAAUUGAGCCCUGGAUCCAUGACCCCUUUUAUCAUAUACUUAUUCUUGGUAUCCCCAUGUCCAUGCUUUACAGCGCUCUCUCCAAAUUUCUCCUAAAGAAGGGAUUGCUCGAUUCCAUUUCAGGGGUUCCGCUUACAAGGAAACAGUGUCUUUUCCUGGUGGCUGCUGGCUCUUUGUCACAUUUUUUCUUGGACCAUUUGUUUGAGGAAAAUGGGAAGUCUACUAUGUACACUUGGAUAUUGAGCACAGGUUGGUGGGAAGGGCGCGCACCAAUCAAUCUCGAUGCUGUUGUUGUGGUUUGCAUUCUAUGUAGCUGCUUGAUUGCUGACUUUAUAUACAUAAACAGAGUGAAGCCGCUCAAACUGCUCAAACUACGAGUUAUCAACUCUGUCAAACUGAUCUUGGUAAUUGCUUCCUUAUACUGUUUAUGGUGUG